GAUGAAGAACGUAGUGAAAUGCGAUAAGUAAUGUGAAUUGCAGAAUUCAGUGAAUCAUCGAAUCUUUGAACGCACAUUGCGCCCGCCAGUAUUCUGGCGGGCAUGCCUGUUCGAGCGUCAUUUCAACCAUCAAGCCCCCAGGGGCUUGUGCUGGGGCCCUGCGGCUGCCCGCAGGCCCUGAAAACCAGUGGCGGGCUCGCUAGUCACACCGAGCGCAGUAGCACAUCUCGCUCAGGGCGUGCGGCGGGCUCCUGCCGUGAAACCCCCCACUGUAACCCCAAAGGUUGACCUCGGAUCAGGUAGGAAUACCCGCUGAACUUAAGCAUAUCAAUAAGCGGAGGA
This 342-nucleotide unclassified non-coding RNA is filed under the name soil metagenome. RNAcentral describes it as "partial contains 5.8S ribosomal RNA, internal transcribed spacer 2, and large subunit ribosomal RNA". The stretch from base 1 to 120 matches the Rfam family "5.8S ribosomal RNA", at positions 35 to 154 of the family's 154-position model. The record is from RNAcentral.